UUUAGAUUACAGUCGGCGAUUAAGGCAUUUCACUAUCAGCGAAAAUUGGUGGUAUUAAUUUUUCACCAGAUCUCCGACAACCUGAUUUGCAUCUUUAUACCUAAUUUGCCCUCCCACUAUUCCACAUCUACAAGCAACUACCCAUAACAAUUCGACCAGAAGGCCCUCAUUCGCGGCUCCGAAUUCAGCCUUCCGACCACCACAGGUAUGCAGGAUUAGGUGCGGUUGAUUUCACUAGUACUGCCCAGGUGAUCGAGUAUCAUUUGGAAGAACUGGCGUCGAGGUUGUUUAUAUGUUGCCCCUGCUGUUCUGAUGUCGGAUUAGAUAUAAUGGGAAUGAGGAGAAGAUGGCGCCAAAUAGAAAAAGUAAGGCGCCAUUUUGCAGGUAUGUCGAGGACGAUGGAGGGUUAUGUGGAUAUUUUCAUUUCAAAAAGUAGGGAGAUAUUUGUCAAUCACAAAAUUUAAACAAA
This is a non-coding RNA of Salvia hispanica, 469 nucleotides long. The record is from RefSeq and is a predicted model, not a curated record. Lineage: Eukaryota; Viridiplantae; Streptophyta; Magnoliopsida; Lamiales; Lamiaceae.